UGGGGAAUAUUGGACAAUGGGCGAAAGCCUGAUCCAGCCAUGCCGCGUGUGUGAAGAAGGUCUUCGGAUUGUAAAGCACUUUAAGUUGGGAGGAAGGGCAGUUACCUAAUACGUGAUUGUUUUGACGUUACCGACAGAAUAAGCACCGGCUAACUCUGUGCCAGCAGCCGCGGUAAUACAGAGGGUGCAAGCGUUAAUCGGAAUUACUGGGCGUAAAGCGCGCGUAGGUGGUUUGUUAAGUUGGAUGUGAAAUCCCCGGGCUCAACCUGGGAACUGCAUUCAAAACUGACUGACUAGAGUAUGGUAGAGGGUGGUGGAAUUUCCUGUGUAGCGGUGAAAUGCGUAGAUAUAGGAAGGAACACCAGUGGCGAAGGCGACCACCUGGACUAAUACUGACACUGAGGUGCGAAAGCGUGGGGAGCAAAUA
RNAcentral lists this ribosomal RNA (427 nucleotides) under uncultured bacterium. Its description in RNAcentral is "partial 16S ribosomal RNA". It matches the Rfam family "Bacterial small subunit ribosomal RNA", at positions 355 to 774 of the family's 1533-position model. The record is from RNAcentral.